This is a long non-coding RNA of Archocentrus centrarchus (flier cichlid), 397 nucleotides long. RefSeq lists it as uncharacterized. The record is from RefSeq and is a predicted model, not a curated record. The transcript is spliced from 3 exons. Lineage: Eukaryota; Metazoa; Chordata; Actinopteri; Cichliformes; Cichlidae.
ACUAGAGGCAGGCUGCUGCAGUGACCCACGUUAAUACGUCCGAGUUUACAGCAGAAACAAAAAACGGUGUGACUGAAAGAUGCCCUGACGCAGGCGGCUGUAGCUGCUAGCUGUCUGCUAGCUUUCCCUCAGCUAACUGGAGUCCCUGAACUGGACCUCUGGACCGUGUUGGUGCUGUUGGAGCCUUUUUAUGGACUGCCGUGGAACAAAGAUCAUCCAGGAUAUCUGCACUCCACUUCUGGUGAGAGCAACAGUCCAAACAUCCAAAAUCCAAAGAGAGGACCAAAAGGCAGAAAAUCCAGAGUGAACCAGGCAGGGGGGCUAAUCCAUGAAAAAGAUCCACGGAUUAAGCAGCAGGGAGACAGGACUAUAUAUACACAGGAGACUGGAAUACAGG